GAGGCCGAGAAUGGUGUAGGUCACGUGGAACAUCAGCGACGCGCCGAUGCCGAAGGAGGUGAUGAC
Molecule: small RNA, 66 nt
Filed under: Sinorhizobium meliloti 2011
Lineage: Bacteria; Pseudomonadati; Pseudomonadota; Alphaproteobacteria; Hyphomicrobiales; Rhizobiaceae
Description: putative ncRNA
Source: RNAcentral